This 453-nucleotide ribosomal RNA is filed under the name Sadayoshia latisternata. Its description in RNAcentral is "partial 16S ribosomal RNA". It matches the Rfam family "Bacterial large subunit ribosomal RNA", at positions 1943 to 2600 of the family's 2925-position model. The record is from RNAcentral. Lineage: Eukaryota; Metazoa; Arthropoda; Malacostraca; Decapoda; Munididae.
UAACUGUGCAAAGGUGGCAUAAUCAGUAGUUUUUUAAUUGAAGGCUUGUAUGAAGGGUUGGACAAAGAAUAAUCUGUUUCUGGUUUUUUGUUUGAAUUUUACUUUUAAGUGAAAAGGCUUAAAUAUGUUUAAGGGACGAUAAGACCCUAUAAAUCUUUAUACUAAAUUAUUUUUUAAUAAUUAAUUUUAGUAGAUAGUAUAAUAAAAUAAAAAGUAUUUUGUUGGGGGGAUGAAAAUAUAUAAUUAACUGUUUUUAAAUUAAAACAAAGUUGUUUGAAAAGUCUAAUUGAUCCUUUGUAGAGAUUGAAAGUUUAAGUUACUUUAGGGAUAACAGCGUUAUUUUUUUUGAGAGUCCUUAUCGAAAAAAAAGUUUGCGACCUCGAUGUUGAAUUAAAAUUUCUUUAUGGGGCAGAAGCCAGAAAAGAGAGUCUGUUCCACUUUUAAAAUUUUACG